GAUGAACGCUGGCGGCGUGCCUAAUACAUGCGAGUCGAGCGAACAGAUAAGGAGCUUGCUCCUUUGACGUUAGCGGCGGACGGGUGAGUAACACGUGGAUAACCUACCUAUAAGACUGUGAUAACUUCGGGAAACCGGAGCUAAUACCGGAUAACAUAUUGAACCGCAUGGUUCAAUAGUGAAAGGCGGCUUUGCUGUCACUUAUAGAUGGAUCCGCGCCGUAUUAGCUAGUUGGUAAGGUAACGGCUGACCAAGGCAACGAUACGUAGCCGACCUGAGAGGGGGAUCGGCCACACUGGAACUGAGACACGGUCCAGACUCCUACGGGAGGCAGCAGUAGGGAAUCUUCCGCAAUGGGCGAAAGCCGGACGGAGCAACGCCGCGUGAGUGAUGAAGGUCUUCGGACCGUAAAACUCUGUUAUCAGGGAAGAACAAAUGUGUAAGUAACUGUGCACAUCUUGACGGUACCUGAUCAGAAAGCCACGGCUAACUACGUGCCAGCCGCCGCAGUAA
RNAcentral lists this ribosomal RNA (513 nucleotides) under uncultured bacterium. RNAcentral describes it as "partial 16S ribosomal RNA". It matches the Rfam family "Bacterial small subunit ribosomal RNA", at positions 28 to 523 of the family's 1533-position model. The record is from RNAcentral.